Long non-coding RNA from Episyrphus balteatus (marmalade hoverfly), 1397 nucleotides. RefSeq lists it as uncharacterized. NCBI's taxonomy places the organism in Eukaryota, Metazoa, Arthropoda, Insecta, Diptera, Syrphidae. The record is from RefSeq and is a predicted model, not a curated record. The transcript is spliced from 3 exons.
UUAGGAAAUCUAUGGUUAAAGUAGAAUCAAUAUUUAAACUAAAGGUAGCAACUAUUUCUAUCAUCAAAAAUUACAUGAGAACCGUUUUUACACCAAAAGGGGUGAAAGAAGAAUUCAUUUGCUAUAAGUGUUAUAUUUUUGUUAUCACUUUUAUAUUCACCCGGUUUUAUACGUCACAUUCUGUUUAUUUAUUUAAAUCGUACGUCUUUUAAGCUAUUUCAUCGUUCGGUCCAAGUUAUUUUACGUUUACACGCGUCAUUUUUUUGCUGUUUACACGUGACGUUUUGUCUUGUUAGCCUAAGUAUAACUCCGUUUUAUGUGUUUUCGCGUUUCUUUCGGUGUUUUUCGUAUUCUACUUGUCAUUCCGAGUCUCUAUUACGUUUGGUGUUAAAGUACCAACGUGUUUUGAAUGUUUUGAAAAAUUAAAAAUUAUGGACCUGGCUGGUAUGCACGGUGAAGAUAGAAAUAAUUGAAUACAUAGUUUUUAUAAUGCUCUAGGUUCGUUAAACUGUGUUUAACCAAAAAUACUGGUGGUUAAAAUAUUUGUUUGAUCCUAGCGCCAUCUUCAUACGAGAGUAAAUAUAAAUCCAGCGCCUGAACUACACUGCCCGCAUUUCUGAACGCACCCCCGCUGAAUAUACAAAAUAUUAAAAUUAAAAUAGAGAGGGACGACUAUAUAUCGAAAUUAGAAUACAUUUUUUAUGAGUGUAUAGGUAUGGUUUAAUGAAAUAUAUAGGCAACGGAUGAUGUUUUGCCGUUAAGGAAAUCAUACGAUUAAUUUUUUUUUGCUAUGAUAGUUUUCAUACCAAAAAUAUACUCCUCUCUCUCUGACUGCCUGUGGAGAGUUAUACUCUAAAUGCAUUUCUUUGGACAUUUUGCAAACGUCAUUCAAAGGAAGCAGUCUUUUUAAGUUCAAUAAGUGGUGAAAAUUUAAAUAAAUUUUUUUGAAAAAAAAUAAUUAUUUCCAUCAGUGGUGAUUUUUUUUGAAAUCGAUAUUGCGUAAAUCGCCAAACAAAUAAAUUUGAAUCCUGUUGCCUUAAAAUUGUGGAGACUCUCCUUACAUGUCUAGGACGUUCCAAAGUUCAAAAUUGAGGAAGUAAAACAAAAUAAGAAUAGUGAUUGAUUUUCGGCGGUCCAAGAUAUCCCUUAUAGAACUGGGCCGCCGCACGUUUUUUAAUUUAUUAAAUAAAUUUGUGGAUUCAUUAUUGCGAAAACCGUGACUCCUGGACCCUAAUUUAACUCGCUUUUUGGAUCUGGACGACAAAAAAAAGAGAGGUUAGAAGCCCCAUCAAAAGUGGUCGGUUGUCGGACACAGCCAUCCAAGUCGCCCGUCCACCGGAGCACCCCCACCUCAUAUAGUCCUGGCUGGCUGCUGCCAAUUAGCCCCAGUAACGAUC